This 901-nucleotide long non-coding RNA is filed under the name Homo sapiens (human). RNAcentral describes it as "HSALNT0161453". Lineage: Eukaryota; Metazoa; Chordata; Mammalia; Primates; Hominidae. The record is from RNAcentral.
CUUGCAGUCUCUGUAGCCAGCAGGUUGGUGCUGCGAUUAUCUCCCUCUGCCAUCAUCUCUGAGAUGCCAUCUCCAUGAGCGCAGGCCGCCUUCCUAGUGAACCCUCCUACUGAGACCCGCACGGCGACCACAGCACCAGAGUCAAUGUUCAUCGAACGACAAUUUAUCACAUGGCUGAAGAACACACGAAUUUGAGCUAUAGAAGAAUAGUCAUUCAGCAGGUCCACGCAGCGUUUAAGAGCUGUAACACUCACCACGAAAGUCUGCAACUUCACUCCUGAAACUGGUGAGACCACGGACCCACUGGAAGGGAUGAGCAACUCCAGAGACACCGUCUUUAAGAGCUGUAACACUCACUGCGAAUGUCUGCAACUUCACUCUUGAAGUCAGCGAGACCACGAACCCACCAGAAGGAAGAAACUCCAGACACAUCUGAACAUUUGAAGGAACAAACCCUGGACACACCAUCUUUAAGAACUGUAACGCUCACUGUGAGGGUCUGUGGUUUCAUUUUGAAGUCACCAAGACCAAGAACCCACCAAUUCUGGACACACUAUGAUUAUGGGGAUUGUUCUACUGAGACCUUUCUUUUGAAAUCUUAAUUGGCUCUGGGUAUUAAUCAGUACAUUCUAUACAAUAAAAUACUUUCUCUUACCCUGUGAUAUACUGGAAAAAAGUCUUAAUACUCACGUAAAGCUAAUAGUGUUCAUUUUUUCACUAGAUGCCAUUCCAGGGAUGCCUUGAACUCCAGAAUUACCUGAAUGUAAGAUUUUCAUAUCAAUUAGCUAUGGCCAAUUUAAUAUUCAUCUCUGUAUUAGAAGAUGCUGUAUGGAGGGGACAGUAGCAUCCCAAACCUAGUUGAGAAAGAAGAUGAAAAAAAUGUGCAAUAAAAACUUAGGGA